GACGAACGCUGGCGGCGUGCUUAACACGUGCAAGUCGAACGGAAAGGCCCUGCUUUUGUGGGGUGCUCGAGUGGCGAACGGGUGAGUAACACGUGAGUAACCUGCCCUUGACUUUGGGAUAACUUCAGGAAACUGGGGCUAAUACCGGAUAGGAGCUCCUGCUGCAUGGUGGGGGUUGGAAAGUUUCGGCGGUAGGGGAUGGACUCGCGGCUUAUCAGCUUGUUGGUGGGGUAGUGGCUUACCAAGGCUUUGACGGGUAGCCGGCCUGAGAGGGUGACCGGCCACAUUGGGACUGAGAUACGGCCCAGACUCCUACGGGAGGCAGCAGUGGGGAAUAUUGCACAAUGGGCGGAAGCCUGAUGCAGCAACGCCGCGUGCGGGAUGACGGCCUUCGGGUUGUAAACCGCUUUCGCCUGUGACGAAGCGUGAGUGACGGUAAUGGGUAAAGAAGCACCGGCUAACUACGUG
RNAcentral lists this ribosomal RNA (468 nucleotides) under uncultured bacterium. RNAcentral's name for it is "partial 16S ribosomal RNA". It matches the Rfam family "Bacterial small subunit ribosomal RNA", at positions 28 to 507 of the family's 1533-position model. The record is from RNAcentral.